GUCAUGAAUCGCGGGGCAACCCCGACUCGACUCGGCGAGUUUCUUCUAUAGCCACACUCAAAUGACCUUCUGAGGUCAGAUCUACUUCUCUAACCUAAGUUGCACAUAGGUGACUCAGCGAGUCCAAGCGUGUCCUCUGGAUCCUUCUAAAGCCUCACUCGACUCGUCGAGUGAACCUUCCACUCGACGAGUUACCACUGGUCAUGAAUCGCGGGGCAACCCCGACUCGACUCGGCGAGUUUCUUCUAUAGCCACACUCAAAUGACCUUCUGAGGUCAGAUCUACUUCUCUAACCUAUAGAUCUGACCUUCCAAUACACAAUAACCAUGUAAAGGUCCAACCUUUACACUCAUGCAACACUCAUAGGGCUUCUUUUGGUGAAAUAGCUUCUAAAAUGGCAACCUAGGUUCAUAUCUCCAAAGGAAUAGU
RNAcentral lists this long non-coding RNA (429 nucleotides) under Lactuca sativa (garden lettuce). Its description in RNAcentral is "long non-coding RNA (LSAT_LNC009439)". The record is from RNAcentral. Lineage: Eukaryota; Viridiplantae; Streptophyta; Magnoliopsida; Asterales; Asteraceae.